AUUGAACGCUGGCGGCAUGCCUUACACAUGCAAGUCGAACGGUAACGCGGGGCAACCUGGCGACGAGUGGCGAACGGGUGAGUAAUAUAUCGGAACGUGCCCAGUAGUGGGGGAGUAGCCCGGCGAAAGCCGGAUUAAUACCGCAUGAGACCUGAGGGUGAAAGCGGGGGAGUCGCAAGACCUCGCGCUAUUGGAGCGGCCGAUAUCAGAUUAGGUAGUUGGUGGGGUAAAGGCCUACCAAGCCGACGAUCUGUAGCUGGUCUGAGAGGACGACCAGCCACACUGGGACUGAGACACGGCCCAGACUCCUACGGGAGGCAGCAGUGGGGGAAUUUUGGACAAUGGGCGCAAGCCUGGUCCAGCCAUGCCGCGUGCGGGAAGAAGGCCUC
This 389-nucleotide ribosomal RNA is filed under the name uncultured bacterium. Its description in RNAcentral is "bacterial SSU rRNA". It matches the Rfam family "Bacterial small subunit ribosomal RNA", at positions 29 to 418 of the family's 1533-position model. The record is from RNAcentral.